This 468-nucleotide ribosomal RNA is filed under the name uncultured bacterium. RNAcentral's name for it is "partial 16S ribosomal RNA". It matches the Rfam family "Bacterial small subunit ribosomal RNA", at positions 28 to 507 of the family's 1533-position model. The record is from RNAcentral.
GACGAACGCUGGCGGCGUGCUUAACACAUGCAAGUCGAACGGAAAGGCCCUGCUUUUGUGGGGUGCUCGAGUGGCGAACGGGUGGGUAACACGUGAGUAACCUGCCCUUGACUUUGGGAUAACUUCAGGAAACUGGGGCUAAUACCGGAUAGGAGCUCCUGCUGCAUGGUGGGGGUUGGAAAGUUUCGGCGGUUGGGGAUGGACUCGCGGCUUAUCAGCUUGUUGGUGGGGUAGUGGCUUACCAAGGCUUUGACGGGUAGCCGGCCUGAGAGGGUGACCGGCCACAUUGGGACUGAGAUACGGCCCAGGCUCCUACGGGAGGCAGCAGUGGGGAAUAUUGCACAAUGGGCGGAAGCCUGAUGCAGCAACGCCGCGUGCGGGAUGACGGCCUUCGGGUUGUAAACCGCUUUCGCCUGUGACGAAGCGUGAGUGACGGUAAUGGGUAAAGAAGCACCGGCUAACUACGUG